CACGCCGUAAACUAUGCAUACAAGCUGUAGUGGAAUUUUAUUCUGCUGUGGCGAAGCUAACGCAAUUAGUAUGCCGCCUGGGGAGUACGGUCGCAAGACUAAAACUCAAAGGAAUUGACGGGGGCCCGCACAAGCGGUGGAUUAUGUGGUUUAAUUCGAAGCAACGCGCAGAACCUUACCUAGGUUUGACAUCCCACGACAAUCAUAGAAAUAUGACUUUGUAGCAAUACACGUGGAGACAGGUGC
RNAcentral lists this ribosomal RNA (246 nucleotides) under uncultured bacterium. Its description in RNAcentral is "partial 16S ribosomal RNA". It matches the Rfam family "Bacterial small subunit ribosomal RNA", at positions 796 to 1041 of the family's 1533-position model. The record is from RNAcentral.